UACGAAGGGGGCUAGCGUUGCUCGGAUUGACUGGGCGUAAAGGGCGCGUAGGCGGUUCGUACAGUCAGACGUGAAAUUCCUGGGCUCAACCUGGGGGCUGCGUUUGAUACGUGCGGACUUGAGUGCGGAAGAGGGUCGUGGAAUUCCCAGUGUAGAGGUGAAAUGCGUAGAGAUCGGGAGGAACACCAGAGGCGAAGGCGGCGACCUGGAUAGGAACUGACACUCAACUACGAAAGCGUGGGUAGCAAACAGG
Molecule: ribosomal RNA, 253 nt
Filed under: uncultured bacterium
Lineage: Bacteria
Description: partial 16S ribosomal RNA
Rfam family: Bacterial small subunit ribosomal RNA
Source: RNAcentral